ACGCUCGACACCUACGGGGGGCAGCAGUAGGGAAUCUUCCACAAUGGACGCAAGUCUGAUGGAGCAACGCCGCGUGAGUGAAGAAGGUCUUCGGAUCGUAAAACUCUGUUGUUAGAGAAGAACACGAGUGAGAGUAACUGUUCAUUCGAUGACGGUAUCUAACCAGCAAGUCACGGCUAACUACGUGUCAGCAGCCGCGGUAAUCUGAGCGGGCUGGCAAGGC
RNAcentral lists this ribosomal RNA (223 nucleotides) under uncultured bacterium. RNAcentral's name for it is "partial 16S ribosomal RNA". It matches the Rfam family "Bacterial small subunit ribosomal RNA", at positions 328 to 539 of the family's 1533-position model. The record is from RNAcentral.